RNAcentral lists this long non-coding RNA (444 nucleotides) under Actinidia chinensis (golden kiwifruit). RNAcentral's name for it is "long non-coding RNA (ACHI_LNC000956)". The record is from RNAcentral. Lineage: Eukaryota; Viridiplantae; Streptophyta; Magnoliopsida; Ericales; Actinidiaceae.
GGCCCCCUUGUCUCCGAAGCUACUAUCUCGUGAACGUUUCACAUUUUCAGUUCAGAAAUUUCCGAGAUUUUGGAUAAUUCCCCUGAAAUCUUAUUCCCCACCUUUGAUUAUGUCAACAUCUGAUCUAUCAAUUUUCUAGAUUUUCGGAACUUGGAAUCCAACUAUUCGUCUAUUCCCACUUUUUUCUUCGGACCAUUGACUCUUCUUCUUUUUUUUUUUCCAUCUAAUUUUACCAGCUUGUUUGUCCAUAAUCAAAGGAAUUUUCGAUACCCUUCUGUUGUUAAGUUGAUUAUUUGUUUCUUGCUGGGUUGAGGAUUUAGACCCUUCUUUUGUGUAAAUUACGUUCUUCUGAGAGGAAGAAAUCUGGGUCUGUGAUCAGAAUGUGAUGGAGAGCAGUGGAGAAGCAGGGGAUGAUCAGAGCUCUGGAUGGUUGCAAGUUAAAAA